GUGAGUUUACACAUCUCUCAUCUAAGGAGAACUCCUAAGAGAGUUCCAUAUGUAGAAUGAUAGCUGAGGUGAGAUCAAAAUUCACAUCAAAGGCAGAAAAGCAGAGCAGGAGUCAUUCCAGUGGAGCAGCGCAGGACCUGUAGCCAUGUCUGGGAUGUGUGCCCAAGUCUUUGGUUACAUCUGGCACCCAUCAGGCCACUUGCAAGCUGAGAUGAAGAGGCGUGGAGGAACGGAGUGCAGCAGCAAGCAAAGAAAUGCACCAAAAGGUCACGGCCAGAACGAGGUAGCUGUGGAAUCAUCUGCUUUGGCUGCUUAUCAGAGACUCUAGGUCACAGAAGGCCUCUGGGGCACAGUAUCCCCUUGGACAAGCUGCUUUCACUGACAAAUGCAGCAUCUCAUGAGAAUAGUGCAGUGGCAGAGUGUAUUUUUCCCCCA
This 435-nucleotide long non-coding RNA is filed under the name Scleropages formosus (Asian bonytongue). Its description in RNAcentral is "lncRNA (ENSSFOG00015031021.1)". Lineage: Eukaryota; Metazoa; Chordata; Actinopteri; Osteoglossiformes; Osteoglossidae. The record is from RNAcentral.